This 241-nucleotide ribosomal RNA is filed under the name uncultured bacterium. Its description in RNAcentral is "partial 16S ribosomal RNA". It matches the Rfam family "Bacterial small subunit ribosomal RNA", at positions 559 to 793 of the family's 1533-position model. The record is from RNAcentral.
CGUAAAGCGCAUGCAGGUGGUUUGUUAAGUCAGAUGUGAAAGACCCGGGGCGUCAACCUCGGAAUUGCAUUUGAAACUAGGCAAACUAGAGUACUGUAGAGGGGGGUAGGAAUUUCAGGUGUAGCGGUGAAAUAGCGUAGAGAUCUGAAGGAAUACCGGUGGCGAAGGCGGCCCCCUCGGACAGAUACUGACACUCAGAUGCGAAAGCGUGGGGAGCAAACAGGAUUAGAUACCCUGGUAG